ACCUACUGUUUAAUUUUGAGGGUUCGUUUUUACGAAUACUCAAAAUUAGCACUUUAAGCAACGGGAUUUAUCCGUUGGCGCCGUGCUUUAGCACUUUUAGCAACAGAAUAAACUGAACGCAUGUGAAGUUUGUUUGUUGGCGCUGUGCGUUAGCACUUUAAGCAACGGAAUUUAUUCGUUGGCGCCGUGCUUUAGCACUUUGAAAACUGCAUAUAUAUUUAGUGAUAUGACAUCUAAUUUGUAAUAUAUAAAGCUGAUAACUUUUUAAAAUUAUCGAAGUUGAUAGCUUCUAAUCUAUCAAACCUUUUUAACUGGUCAA
RNAcentral lists this unclassified non-coding RNA (319 nucleotides) under Clostridioides difficile. RNAcentral's name for it is "16S-23S ribosomal RNA intergenic spacer (ISR)". Lineage: Bacteria; Bacillati; Bacillota; Clostridia; Peptostreptococcales; Peptostreptococcaceae. The record is from RNAcentral.